Lachancea lanzarotensis is the source of this 73-nucleotide transfer RNA. It matches the Rfam family "tRNA". Rfam says of the family: Transfer RNA (tRNA) molecules are approximately 80 nucleotides in length. Lineage: Eukaryota; Fungi; Ascomycota; Saccharomycetes; Saccharomycetales; Saccharomycetaceae. The record is from Rfam.
GGGCGUGUAACUCAGUUGGUAGAGUGCUCGCUUUGCAUGCGAGAAGUCAUCGGUUCGACUCCGGUCUCGUCCA